AGUUUAUUUUCUUUGUAUAAAAAAUAAGGUUAAGAUGAACCAAAUAAAUAAUAAAAAUAGACGACGAAUGUUUAUGGCUUCGUUUGGUUCAAGAAUAAGUAAGAACUAGUUAUACCGGGGACAUGUACAAGAAUGAAUUUUCAUAGGAAUAAAGUUAUUUUUUUGUUUGGAUGAAAAUGUGAGUAUAAGCUGGAACUAGAAAAAUUAUGUUUGGAUGAAAAUCUGAGUAUAAUGUGGAAUAGUUGAUAGUUAUAGAUAGAAAAUAAUAAUUUUACCUCUAUAAUUGAAUUUAACAUUUUAAACUAAUAAUUUUAAAUUAAAAAUUUUAACUUUUAACUUUUAAAAUUUGAAAUUAAAAUUAAAACUUAUAAUUUUCAAAAUUUAAAUUUUAAAUAUCAAAUUUUAAAUU
Molecule: long non-coding RNA, 409 nt
Filed under: Ananas comosus (pineapple)
Lineage: Eukaryota; Viridiplantae; Streptophyta; Magnoliopsida; Poales; Bromeliaceae
Description: long non-coding RNA (ACOM_LNC033860)
Source: RNAcentral